Molecule: ribosomal RNA, 301 nt
Filed under: uncultured bacterium
Lineage: Bacteria
Description: partial 16S ribosomal RNA
Rfam family: Bacterial small subunit ribosomal RNA
Source: RNAcentral
CAGUAGCCGCGGGAAUACGUAGGGGGCUAGCGUUGCCCGGAAUCACUGGGCGUAAAGGGUUCGCAGGCGGAAAUGCAAGUCAGAUGUAAAAGGCAGUAGCUUAACUACUGUAAGCAUUUGAAACUGCAUAUCUUGAGAAGAGUAGAGGUAAGUGGAAUUUUUAGUGUAGCGGUGAAAUGCGUAGAUAUUAAAAAGAAUACCGGUGGCGAAGGCGACUUACUGGGCUCAUUCUGACGCUGAGGAACGAAAGCGUGGGUAGCAAACAGGAUUAGAUACCCGUGUAGUCCCUGUCUCUUAUACA